GAGAAGCUUGCUUCUCUGAUGUUAGCGGCGGACGGGUGAGUAACACGUGGAUAACCUACCUAUAAGACUGGGAUAACUUCGGGAAACCGGAGCUAAUACCGGAUAAUAUUUUGAACCGCAUGGUUCAAAAGUGAAAGACGGUCUUGCUGUCACUUAUAGAUGGAUCCGCGCUGCAUUAGCUAGUUGGUAAGGUAACGGCUUACCAAGGCAACGAUGCAUAGCCGACCUGAGAGGGUGAUCGGCCACACUGGAACUGAGACACGGUCCAGACUCCUACGGGAGGCAGCAGUUGGGAAUCUUCCGCAAUGGGCGAAAGCCUGACGGAGCAACGCCGCGUGAGUUAUGAAGGUCUUCGGAUCGUAAAACUCUGUUAUUAGGGAAGAACAUAUGUGUAAGUAACUGUGCACAUCUUGACGGUACCUAAUCAGAAAGCCACGGCUAACUACGUGCCAGCAGCCGCGGUAAUACGUAGGUGGCAAGCGUUAUCCGGAAUUAUUGGGCGUAAAGCGCGCGUAGGCGGUUUUUUAAGUCUGAUGUGAAAGCCCACGGCUCAACCGUGGAGGGUCAUUGGAAACUGGAAAACUUGAGUGCAGAAGAGGAAAGUGGAAUUCCAUGUGUAGCGGUGAAAUGCGCAGAGAUAUGGAGGAACACCAGUGGCGAAGGCGACUUUCUGGUCUGUAACUGACGCUGAUGUGCGAAAGCGUGGGGAUCAAACAGGAUUAGAUACCCUGGUAGUCCACGCCGUAAACGAUGAGUGCUAAGUGUUAGGGGGUUUCCGCCCCUUAGUGCUGC
Molecule: ribosomal RNA, 792 nt
Filed under: uncultured Staphylococcus sp.
Lineage: Bacteria; Bacillati; Bacillota; Bacilli; Caryophanales; Staphylococcaceae
Description: bacterial SSU rRNA
Rfam family: Bacterial small subunit ribosomal RNA
Source: RNAcentral